UGGGGAAUAUUGCACAAUGGGGAAGACCCUGAUGCAGCGACGCCGCGUGAAGGAAGAAGUAUCUCGGUAUGUAAACUUCUAUCAGCAGGGAAGAUAAUGACGGUACCUGACUAAGAAGCCCCGGCUAACUACGUGCCAGCAGCCGCGGUAAUACGUAGGGGGCGAAGCGUUAUCCGGAUUUACUGGGUGUAAAGGGAGCGUAGACGGAACAGCAAGUCUGAUGUGAAAGGCAUGGGCUCAACCUGUGGACUGCAUUGGAAACUGUGGAUCUGGAGUGCCGGAGAGGUAAGCGGAAUUCCUAGUGUAGCGGUGAAAUGCGUAGAUAUUAGGAGGAGCACCAGUGGCGAAGGCGGCUUACUGGACGGUAACUGACGUUGAGGCUCGAAAGCGUGGGGAGCAACAGGAUUAGAUACC
This 414-nucleotide ribosomal RNA is filed under the name uncultured bacterium. RNAcentral's name for it is "bacterial SSU rRNA". It matches the Rfam family "Bacterial small subunit ribosomal RNA", at positions 355 to 786 of the family's 1533-position model. The record is from RNAcentral.